UGUACUGCAGCUAAAAAUGUGCUGUGAGAGGAAGGAGGGAGGGAUUAAGGGAGGAACAAAACUGGGACUCAAGUACAGAAAAGACAGACUUUCACAGUGCUGUUUCAUAUGAAAACCAGACAGAUUCUCUUUAAGAUGCUGUCAGUGAACUUCAGUCUGUUUGUCACUUUGUGUCUGCUCACAAUCAGAGGUGUCAGCUGUGAAGAUCUCAGUCCAGUCAAAGAUGAACAGUCCAGUUUAGAAGACAGCUCUGUUACUCUGUCCUACAGAUACAGCAAGAAAGCAACUGGUUCUGAUAACUUCUUCUGGUAUCGACAAGAUCCAGGAAAGCCACCAGAGUUCCUCAUCUCUCACUCAGGAACAGGAAGAAUAUUAAUGAGUCCAAAGUCUGGACUGUCUGUUACAGUGAGUGAGGAAAACACUCACAUGAAUGUUCAGAUCUCCUCUGCUGCAGUGACAGACUCUGCUCUGUACUACUGUGCUGUGAGGCCCACAGUGACAGCAAACCCACAGUCUCUGUACAAAAACACAAGCUGA
Non-coding RNA from Scatophagus argus, 537 nucleotides. Lineage: Eukaryota; Metazoa; Chordata; Actinopteri; Scatophagidae. The record is from the annotation of a RefSeq genome assembly.